RNAcentral lists this ribosomal RNA (497 nucleotides) under uncultured bacterium. RNAcentral describes it as "bacterial SSU rRNA". It matches the Rfam family "Bacterial small subunit ribosomal RNA", at positions 29 to 518 of the family's 1533-position model. The record is from RNAcentral.
AUGAACGCUAGCGACAGGCCUAACACGAUGCAAGUCGAGGGGCAGCACAAGGAGCAAUCUGAGGUGGCGACCGGCGCACGGGUGAGUAACACGUAUGCAACCUGCCUGUAAGCGGGGAAUAACCCGUUGAAAGACGGACUAAUACCGCAUAAUACUAAAUUACUGCAUGGUAAUUUAUUUAAACAUUUAUGGCUUACAGAUGGGCAUGCGCAUGAUUAGCUAGUUGGAGAGGUAACGGCUCCCCAAGGCAACGAUCAUUAGGGGUUCUGAGAGGAAGGUCCCCCACACUGGUACUGAGACACGGACCAGACUCCUACGGGAGGCAGCAGUGAGGAAUAUUGGUCAAUGGACGAGAGUCUGAACCAGCCAAGUCGCGUGCAGGAAGAAUGUUCCCUAUGGAUUGUAAACUGCUUUUGCAGGGGAAUAAAGUGCAUCACGUGUGAUGUUUUGUAUGUACUCUGCGAAUAAGGAUCGGCUAACUCCGUGCCAGCCGCUGC